Molecule: long non-coding RNA, 449 nt
Organism: Pongo pygmaeus (Bornean orangutan)
Lineage: Eukaryota; Metazoa; Chordata; Mammalia; Primates; Hominidae
Exons: 3
Source: RefSeq, a predicted model, not a curated record
AGUCCGGAGGAGCGGCGAAGGGCUCCCCUUCCCCAUUGGCUGCGCCCACGGAGCCGCCUUGCGAUUGGCCAUAAGCGCGGGUAGCGGGGGUCGCGAGAGGCGUCAGGAUCCCUGGCGCCCCUGAGCCAGCGGCUGCUGGGAGGCUGUGUCCGCAAGCCAGCGGGGCGAGGCGGCCGGGCCCUGCGCGUCAGGUCCUGGCCUGGGGCACCGGGGCUGCCAGCGUCGGAGGAGGCCUGAGAACUGGGAGGAAGCUGGAGAAAAGAAUACCCUCUGAAUCUUUGUGUUUGGCUGCCCAGGCUCGCCUUGACACCGAAUGGUUGAAAACAUAUACAGAUGGAGUCUUGCUCUUUUGCCCAGGCUGGAGUGCAGUGGUGCCAUCUCGGCUCACUGCAAGCUCUGCCUCCCGGGUUCAUGCCAUUGUCCUGCCUCAGCCUCCCGAGUAGCUGGAA